RNAcentral lists this unclassified non-coding RNA (406 nucleotides) under soil metagenome. RNAcentral describes it as "partial contains 5.8S ribosomal RNA, internal transcribed spacer 2, and large subunit ribosomal RNA". The stretch from base 1 to 121 matches the Rfam family "5.8S ribosomal RNA", at positions 35 to 154 of the family's 154-position model. The record is from RNAcentral.
GAUGAAGAACGCAUCGAAAUGCGAUAAGUAAUGUGAAUUGCAGAAUUCAGUGAAUCAUCGAAUCUUUGAACGCACCUUGCGCCCUUUGGCCAUUCCGAAGGGCAUGCCUGUUUGAGUAUCAUGAACACCUCAACUCUUCAUGGUUUUCCGUGAUGAGCUUGGACUUUGGGGGUCUUGCUGGCCUAUGGUCAGCUCCUCUAAAAUAAAUCAGCUUGCCAGUGUUUGGUGGGUAUCACAGGUGUGAUAACUAUCUACGCUUGUGGUUUUCCACCAGGUAACCUUCAGCAGUGGAGGUUCGCUGGAGCUCACAGAUGUGUCUCUCCUCAGUGAGGACAGCUCUUUGAAUGUUUGAUCUCAAAUCAGGUAGGACUACCCGCUGAACUUAAGCAUAUCAAUAAGCGGAGGA